RNA transcript from Caenorhabditis elegans, 1807 nucleotides. It is a transcript of the gene named Non-coding transcript of protein-coding gene K07B1.7e, with no coding region annotated. The record is from RefSeq and is marked reviewed. The transcript is spliced from 3 exons. NCBI's taxonomy places the organism in Eukaryota, Metazoa, Nematoda, Chromadorea, Rhabditida, Rhabditidae.
GAUAUCGAUCGAUAUUCACUAUUCAAUGGACAGAACCCGCUCAAACAAAGAUAUAUUGGAUCGCUUUUUGUCAAAAAGCAAGAGAAAUAAUGUUGAAGAUGUAUCGAAACGACAGGAGAUAAGGCAGUUAUGCGAUUGUUCGGAACAUACCAAAAGAAUUACAUUCAAAAGAUUUGAGGAAAUACUUCAGUAGAUUUGUAGAAGCUGGUCAGUUCCAGUGUUUCCACUACAGACAUCGACCAGAAGUUCAGGCGCAAACAAGUGGAUCAGAAUCUCAAAAAAGCAAUACUUGUUGUUGCUUGAUCUCGUUACGAAGUGAAGAAGAUAGGGAAACCUUCAUAGAGGAGUUCCACAAAAAAAACUGGCAAAACUCCGCAGGUGUCGAUAUUCCUAGAAGGUGUUUUGUGGAUCGACUGAAAGUACAAAGUGAUGAUAGUGAAGGGACCUCCAAUUCUUUAUCAACUAAUGAUUUAAACGAUAUGAUUGAAUUAAAACCUCCAGAUGUAAUGCCUAAUGGAAAUAUUGGAACUCCAAGUCAAUACUUUUUGGAGCAAAUUCGUUUAUGCCGUCUACCAACAACUGUGAUAUCGAAACUUGGAAUUCAAACUCAAAAAAGAAAGAAAAAGUUCGGAGAAGUUGAUUUUCAGUAUGAGAAAACUGAUUCGUGUAAAGCUGAGAAAAUCAAAUGCGAAACGAUUCCUGGUGUCGAAGAUGAACUUGAAGAUCCUACGGAAAGAGUAAGAAUGAAUCAAAAUCCAGAAGAUAAUGAUGAUGGUAAAGAUGAUGACAACGAUCAAUGUGAAGAAUGGGAGAGACAUGAAGCUUUACAUGAAGAUGUUACUGAACAAGACAGAGCAAAACCACGAAAGUAUGAAGAAGAAAUGGAAGUUACUUGGGAAAAGGGAGGUCCUGGUCUUGUUUGGUAUACUGACAAAAACUAUUGGGAUGAAAGAGAAAAAGGUUCGUUACAAACCUUCCCUGUGUAUUAUAUGGAUUAUUUGCAGGAACUGAUUGUGAUUGGGCGUGGGCAGAUGAUUGGGACGUCGAUUAUUCGGUUUACUACGAGGGAAAAUCAGCAGGCGAUAUGGAUGCAAAAGCAGCAAUAGAAAUGAGAAAUGAUGAUCUUAUGCGGUAUGGGAGUUCUCAUUGUCGGCUCCUUUAAAAAAUAUUUUAUAGGUCUGGGAAACUCGAACAAUCGGCUUUCACAAAGAAAAGAAACCCCCAUAAUCUUGGCACAACGCGAAAAAGAAGAAACAGUGAUGGUGGUGGAUCCUCCGAAAAAGCAUCUGAAAAUCUUCAAAAAGGAAUUGGAGGUUCUAUGCUGGCUAAGUAAGCUUUUAACAAGUCAUCUGAAAUUUUAAAGAAAUACAAAUUAAAUUUCAGAAUGGGUUGGAAACCUGGAACUGGGCUUGGAAAAAACGAACAAGGACGAGUUGUUCCCGUAGCUGUAUAUGUUGAAGAAGAUGGGCAAAGUAGUAAAGAAAAAACAGGAUUCGGUUAUAGAGGAGAGAAAUUGUCAAGAGUGGUUCAGAAAAAAACUAUUCGGCAUGUUAUAGCCUCCGCGUAUGAUUUUAUGAUCGUGAUGAAUCACAUUUAUGAUUUCUAUUUACAGAUUCGACAGUGUCACUGAUAGGGAGCAGUGUGAGGACAAGCAAUCCGAGGAAGAGCUUCACGGAGAAAUACUUUUUAGAAGAUCUGAAGUUACCAAAAUGAAGUAUCGUGAAUAAUUUAUUUCAUUAUAUCCACCCACACAUGUCUGUACUCUAGAGUUGGUAUUCAACCUUAAAAUAAAUGUAUAUUUUCCAAC